AACGCGAAGAACCUUACCAGGCCUUGACAUGGGGAGUUUGACUUCCAGAAACGGAAGUCUUCAGUUUGGCUGGCUCCCACACAGGUGCUGCAUGGCUGUCGUCAGCUCGUGUCGUGAGAUGUUGGGUUAAGUCCCGCAACGAGCGCAACCCUCAUCCUUAGUUGCCAACAGGUUAAGCUGGGAACUCUAAGGAAACUGCCGGUGAUAAGCCGGAGGAAGGUGGGGAUGACGUCAAGUCUUCAUGGCCCUUACGGCCUGGGCUACACACGUGCUACAAUGGCGGUGACAAUGGGAAGCCAACCUGCAAGGGUGCGCUAAUCUCAAAAAGCCGUCUCAGUUCGGAUUGCACUCUGCAACUCGAGUGCAUGAAGCUGGAAUCGCUAGUAAUCGUAGAUCAGCAUGCUACGGUGAAUACGUUCCCGGGCCUUGUACACACCGCAUAC
This 443-nucleotide ribosomal RNA is filed under the name uncultured bacterium. RNAcentral's name for it is "bacterial SSU rRNA". It matches the Rfam family "Bacterial small subunit ribosomal RNA", at positions 958 to 1397 of the family's 1533-position model. The record is from RNAcentral.